AACGAACGCUGGCGGCAGGCCUAACACAUGCAAGUCGAGCGAACCCUUCGGGGUUAGCGGCGGACGGGUUAGUAACGCGUGGGAAUAUACCCUUUGGUACGGAAUAGCCUCGGGAAACUGAGAGUAAUACCGUAUGUGCCCUUCGGGGGAAAGAUUUAUCGCCAAAGGAUUAGCCCGCGUUGGAUUAGAUAGUUGGUGGGGUAAUGGCCUACCAAGUCUACGAUCCAUAGCUGGUUUGAGAGGAUGAUCAGCAACACUGGGACUGAGACACGGCCCAGACUCCUACGGGAGACAGCAGUGGGGAAUCUUAGACAAUGGGCGCAAGCCUGAUCUAGCCAUGCCGCGUGGACGAUGAAGGCCUUAGGGUUGUAAAGUCCUUUCAGAUGGGAAGAUAAUGACGGUACCAUCAGAAGAAGCCCCGGCUAACUCCGUG
RNAcentral lists this ribosomal RNA (433 nucleotides) under uncultured bacterium. Its description in RNAcentral is "bacterial SSU rRNA". It matches the Rfam family "Bacterial small subunit ribosomal RNA", at positions 29 to 507 of the family's 1533-position model. The record is from RNAcentral.